This 215-nucleotide unclassified non-coding RNA is filed under the name uncultured Hygrophoraceae. RNAcentral describes it as "sequence contains ITS2". Lineage: Eukaryota; Fungi; Basidiomycota; Agaricomycetes; Agaricales; Hygrophoraceae. The record is from RNAcentral.
AAUUCUCAAACCUGAAUCGUGUGGUUCAGGCUUGGAUUUGGAGUGUGCUGGCCCCUUGAGGGUUGUUGGCUCCUCUGAAAUUUAUUAGCGAAGAGGCUCUCUUAUCCCCCCAAAAGCUUUUUUUUGGCACUGAUAAACUUGUCUGUGCCUUUUCUGCUUUGGCGGGCUUUUAUUUGUAGCAGCUCGCUCACAAAAGUCCAUUCUUUUUGACCAAA